Non-coding RNA from Cinara cedri, 249 nucleotides. NCBI's taxonomy places the organism in Eukaryota, Metazoa, Arthropoda, Insecta, Hemiptera, Aphididae. The record is from the annotation of a GenBank genome assembly.
AAACGCGCCGCCCAACAACUGGAUGCUUAAAACCCACACUCCAUCUUUGGUACAAGUUCUAGCUGGCAUAGCACUCCCCGAUAUUGUUUUUAUUAAGUGAAUUCGCUUCGCGGCACCACUGUGUAGGGGACUGUGUAACCGUUUGCAAUUACCACUACAGGUGGCAGAAAACAGUGUUUGAUAUUGGCGCCGAAAUAAGGGCAAUGCGAUGCGCACCACGUCGACCGUAGGCAGUUAAAAAUAGCGUUU